Molecule: non-coding RNA, 341 nt
Organism: Pelobates cultripes (western spadefoot toad)
Lineage: Eukaryota; Metazoa; Chordata; Amphibia; Anura; Pelobatidae
Source: the annotation of a GenBank genome assembly
CCUAUUUCUACUCCAGUUCCAGGCCAACGUCCUCGCUCAGGCGACACCGCUACUGAGGGGAUCAUUGACACCCCACCCCACGCCUGCAAAGCCCACAAACACCCAGGCCACAACGAUUCCCCCUCCAACAAGCGCUGCUCGACUGGAUUUGCCCUCACCAAGCACAGCCUAGGCUCCAGGGGUCACCACACAUGAUAAGCCAACCUAACAGCCAAGAGUUCUCCCCCUUGAACAACCGCAAUCCACAAAGUGGCUCACGGGAACCCGCACUCACCGAGCACCAAUGUAUAUGCACCACGUUUGUAACAAAUUGUUGAAAUGUCGAUGAGAGAGAACGUAUG